AACGCACGAGACCUGCGGACCUGCGGAGGGAUCAUUAUAGAGUGGUAAACCUCCCGUAAAAGGGGGGGACCUCCUGUCCUUUGUAGGCUCUUUUUUAAAAGGGCUUUUUUUAAUUUUCUGCUUCGGUGGGGUUAUCCCACCGGAACAACCUCAAAACUCUCAUCACAAAAUCGUUCUGUCUGAGAACCUUUUAUAAUAAAAAAAAACUUUCAACAACGGAUCUCUAGAUCGGAAGAGCAC
Molecule: unclassified non-coding RNA, 240 nt
Filed under: soil metagenome
Description: partial contains 5.8S ribosomal RNA, internal transcribed spacer 2, and large subunit ribosomal RNA
Source: RNAcentral